Anguilla rostrata (American eel) is the source of this 347-nucleotide long non-coding RNA. RefSeq lists it as uncharacterized. NCBI's taxonomy places the organism in Eukaryota, Metazoa, Chordata, Actinopteri, Anguilliformes, Anguillidae. The record is from RefSeq and is a predicted model, not a curated record. The transcript has 2 exons.
UUGACCCUAAAAUGAUAUGCAUCAUUAUACAUUAUGCCUUUCGUGACUAUUGAUUUCUUUCUUGCUUUACUAAAUAGAUCGUUUCAGCUAAAUAUUGCACCAAGACUUGCUUGGAUGGGUUUGGACGGUUAUUGUUAUUUGUUCAGUAUAAUGUUGUAAAAGCCCAACUCUUUACAUGUCACUAAUGAGAGGUGCUACCAAAUAUUUCAUACAUUUUUAGGGGUUCAAGUCCCGAAGGGGCUGAAACCCUAUUGUUUUUGUCAAAAUUGAAAAGUCAUAACUUCUACGCCGUGAGUCCAAUUUACAUGAAACUUGCUACAGACAUCCAUCUAUCCUCACUCUACAAA